GGCCUGUAGCUCAAUGGUAUAGCAUUUGCUUUACCUUCAGAAGGUCCCAGGUUUGAUCCCUGACAUCACCA
Molecule: non-coding RNA, 71 nt
Organism: Podarcis lilfordi (Lilford's wall lizard)
Lineage: Eukaryota; Metazoa; Chordata; Lepidosauria; Squamata; Lacertidae
Source: the annotation of a GenBank genome assembly